RNAcentral lists this ribosomal RNA (372 nucleotides) under uncultured organism. Its description in RNAcentral is "partial 16S ribosomal RNA". It matches the Rfam family "Bacterial small subunit ribosomal RNA", at positions 527 to 896 of the family's 1533-position model. The record is from RNAcentral.
GUAGGUGGCAAGCGUUGUCCGGAAUUAUUGGGCGUAAAGCGCGCGCAGGCGGUUCUUUAAGUCCGAUGUGAAAGCCCACGGCUCAACCGUGGAGGGUCAUUGGAAACUGGAGAACUUGAGUACAGAAGAGGAAAGCGGAAUUCCACGUGUAGCGGUGAAAUGCGUAGAGAUGUGGAGGAACACCAGUGGCGAAGGCGGCUUUCUGGUCUGUAACUGACGCUGAGGCGCGAAAGCGUGGGGAGCAAACAGGGAUUAGAUACCCUGGUAGUCCACGCCGUAAACGAUGAGUGCUAAGUGUUAGGGGGUUUCCCGCCCCUUAGUGCUGCAGCUAACGCAUUAAGCACUCCGCCUGGGGAUACGGCCGCAAGGCUG